UUAUACUCAGAUGGAACGUGACGCCAGC
RNAcentral lists this small RNA (28 nucleotides) under Bombyx mori (domestic silkworm). RNAcentral describes it as "ovarian small RNA-36785". Lineage: Eukaryota; Metazoa; Arthropoda; Insecta; Lepidoptera; Bombycidae. The record is from RNAcentral.